GUAGACAUAGUUUAACUAAAACAUUAGAUUGUGAUUCUAAAGACAAGGGCGAACACCCCUUUGUUCACC
RNAcentral lists this transfer RNA (69 nucleotides) under unidentified. RNAcentral describes it as "Acanthogobius stigmothonus tRNA-His". It matches the Rfam family "tRNA". Rfam says of the family: Transfer RNA (tRNA) molecules are approximately 80 nucleotides in length. The record is from RNAcentral.